This 946-nucleotide non-coding RNA is filed under the name Gehyra marginata. RNAcentral describes it as "12S rRNA". It matches the Rfam family "Bacterial small subunit ribosomal RNA". The record is from RNAcentral. Lineage: Eukaryota; Metazoa; Chordata; Lepidosauria; Squamata; Gekkonidae.
CCACGUCUUGGUCCUAAACUGACAGUUACUUGACACCAGGGUAACACAUGUAAGCCUCCACACCCCAGUGAGUGUGCCCACCAGCGGAGCCGGUAUCAGGCGCACUCACUUGUAGCCCAUAACACCUAGCCCAUGCCACACCCCCACGGAACUCAACAGUGUUUAACCUUAAGCCAUGAUCCAAAGAUCGACUUAGCUAUGGUACACCAGGGCCGGUAAACCCCGUGCCAGCCACCGCGGUUAUACGGGGGACCCAAAAUAACUGCUUACGGCGUAAACAGUGACUAGAAGACCCAAACGCAUCCUCAGGAGUUAACACCCAAUAUAGCUGUAAUAAACAAAUACUAACAAGAACCCCCACCAAACUCCCCAAAGAAGGCCCCCUUUGAACACACUAAAGCCAGGACACAAACUAGGAUUAGAUACCCUACUAUGCCCGGCCAUAAACCUAGAUGGCAGCAAUUACACAACCAUCCGCCAGAGAACUACAAGCAAAAGACUUAAAACUCAAAGGACUUGACGGUGUCCCAAACCCCCCUAGAGGAGCCUGUCCUAUAAUCGAUAACCCACGAUACACCCAACUUCCCCUGGUAAAAUCAGCCUAUAUACCGCCGUCGACAGCCCACCCUAUGAAGGAUCCCACAAUGAGCACAAUAGGACUCCACCCUAAAACGUCAGGUCAAGGUGUAGCUAACGGAGAAGAAGAGAUGGGCUACAUUUCCUAUAAUAGGAAACCAACCAAAAGUGACAUGAAAUAGACACCCAAAGGAGGAUUUAGCAGUAAAUCAGAGAUAAUAUAAUCACCUUGAACCCGGCUCUGGGCCGCGUACACACCGCCCGUCACCCUCUCCCACUCACUAAAUCAACAGUACAUAAAUACCACCACCACCCAAGGAGAGGUAAGUCGUAACAUGGUAAGCGUACCGGAAGGUGCGCUUGGAAAACC